Lamprotornis superbus is the source of this 71-nucleotide non-coding RNA. The record is from the annotation of a GenBank genome assembly. NCBI's taxonomy places the organism in Eukaryota, Metazoa, Chordata, Aves, Passeriformes, Sturnidae.
AGCUCAGCUCAGCUGGUUAGGGCAUGGUGCUGACAGCACCAAGGUUUUGGGUUUGAUCCCCAUAUGGGCCA